CAAGUGAACGUCUGAGCCUGCGACAUGGAACGAAGAGACUUUGAAGAAGAAAUGGCACAUACAGCCAGGAAAAUUUCUCCGUCAACUCAAAUUCUUUCUCUCAGUGGGAUAACUUCUUCGUGUGAUUCAAUGAAUCGCUCAAUCCAGACAAUUGAGGUUGAGAAUGGGUUAAGGGCCUUGAAAAUCCGCUACGGAGUCGCACUUCUUCAAGAUGUCAUGUCAGUGUAAACUUGUUGAUAUACAGAGAAAUUGGGUUCGCAAUCUCUGCUUCUCAGUGUAGGAGCUCUGGAAUUUCCUGCCACAUUGGAUCCUGACGACAAACUAAUUUGUUUGUCAUCUUCAACAACAUUGACAAAGUGAUGCUUAGGCCAAACCUUACCACCUUGUGCAAAUGUAAAUACGAUGCUUAUGUGAGUACAAUAUGUACAUAUAUAUACCCAGAAAAAUCCCUCACAUUUUCCUUCAGUCCAGGUUGAUUUGUUUGUUUUUUAGUCCAGCAUCAAAUUAGAUUUCUGAUCUUUCCAUGCAAUGUCAAAAUACAUACAUGUGGGGUUGGUGUGUGCACUACUAUGUUAUGAUGAAAAUGCGCCAAAUGUCCAUCAUAUCAUUAUCAUUACUCUUAUUAAUUGUCAUCUUGAUCUCUAUUCUUUUGACAAAAAUUUAUAAUGGUUCACUUGAAAUUGAUUGAUGGAAUUACAA
Molecule: long non-coding RNA, 699 nt
Organism: Tripterygium wilfordii
Lineage: Eukaryota; Viridiplantae; Streptophyta; Magnoliopsida; Celastrales; Celastraceae
Exons: 3
Source: RefSeq, a predicted model, not a curated record